UUUAAAGUCAUAACAGUCCAAUUUAUUGCAUUUUAAACAGACACCAUCCACAGGGCAGGAAAGACUCUCCUGUUUCUUCAUACAUCAUAGGUUAGAGGAAAGAUAAUCACAGUUGCUAUUCAAAUACCACAACAAAAAGGGAGACCAGCUCCGAAAAAAUGAAUCAUUUUCAUAUAACAAACUGCUUCUCUGCCAGCAGAUCAGUGACUUUGAGAAGACUUCAGGCGUCACAAUGCCGACUGAGUUAGUUGUUUAAGGCACAAGUUCAGUCUUUGGUUUGUUUCUGUCCCUUUAAAAUCCAGGAGGUACCAAAGAGAAAACAUCUAGCUUCUUAAUAAUCUCUUUAUCGGCUGCAUUCACACUGCAGGAUUACUGCAAAAUAGAGCUGUUGGUCCCAUAGGAAACAAAGGAAGAAGGCGUCACUUGGCAAAUUUUUGUGUAAAAACUCAAAAACUACAAAAACCAAAAACAUCAAAUCAGUCUGGAUUAUUUCAGAUGGAGGUGUUGCUCCAUUAUCUCAGAUUCAGUUCAGAGUUUGCUUGUCUUUGUUGAAUUAUGAGUUUAUGUGAAGUAUGUGGCUUGGAACAUUCAAUAAGGUGAAAUCAGCUUCAUAUGUUAAAUUGAAGACAACAUGGAAGCAACCUGAUACUUUGCACGUACAAUGACAAUAUAUAGGAACUAUGAACCCCAGGUUUCAUGCUCUACAUUAACAUUUUGUCAACAUAGCAAAAAAACCACAAAUCAAAUCCUACUGAUAUUAGGGGCCUUAAAAGAUGGUAAAAUAUUAACCAAAGACUGUAUUUUUAGUGGAAAUAUGGAGACAUCCGUAUGUAUAUAUAUAUAUAUAUAUAUAUAUAUAUAUAUAUAUAUAUAUAUAUAUAUAUAUAUAUACCUACAGGAACUUUCUGGGGCUAAAAUACUAACUUUGGUUGAACAUUUUUGCACGUUUAUUAAUUUUCAAAGGCCAAUAUUUAUUCACAAUUGUCAUUUUGGACAAUUUUGAAUUAUUUUUGCACAAUUUUCAAGGGAUUUUUGGACAACUUUGAGUCAUUUUGGACACGUCAAGUCAAUGUAGUAAAAACAGAAACUUGUCUUGCCAUAUCUGUCACAAAUUAAGUCCUACUGAUGUUAGAGACCUCAAAAGUUGGUGAAAUGCUAAUUAAUGACUGUAUUUUAGUAGGAAAUAUGGAUACAUCCAUAUUUAAACACCUACAUAAACUUUCUGUGGCUGCAAUACCACCAAAGUUUGAAAGUAAAUAAUUAUUCAUUAUUGGCAUUUUUAGACGAUUUUGAAUCAUGCAUAACUUACAAGUCAUUUUGGACAAUUUUGAGUCAUUUUGGACAGAUGUCAAGUCAAUAUGGCCAAAAACUAGAACCUUAUCUUGACAUAUUUGUCAAAAAUCUAAUCCCAGUGAUGUUAGAGGCUUUAAAAGUUGGUGAAAUGUUGACCAAAGACUGCAUUUUGUUGCAGGAAAUAUGGAUACAUCAGUUUUCAAAGGCCAAUAGUUAUUCGUUAUUGCCAUUUUUGGACAGAUUUGGGUCACUUUGGAUAGGUGUCAAGUCAAUAUAGUGAAAAAUUGGAACCUUGUCUUGCCAUAUUUGUCACAGAACUAAUCCCACUGAUGUUAGACCCUCAAAAAUUGGUGAAACGUCGACCAAAGACUGCAUUUUACCAAGA
Amphiprion ocellaris (clown anemonefish) is the source of this 1678-nucleotide long non-coding RNA. The record is from Ensembl. NCBI's taxonomy places the organism in Eukaryota, Metazoa, Chordata, Actinopteri, Pomacentridae.